UGCCAGCAGCCGCGGUAAGACAGAGGGUGCAAGCGUUAAUCGGAAUUACUGGGCGUAAAGAGCACGUAGGCGGCUAAUUAAGUCGGAUGUGAAAGCCCCGGGCUUAACCUGGGAGGGUCAUUCGAUACUGGUUAGCUAGAGUAGAGUAGAGGAAAGUGGAAUUUCCGGUGUAGCGGUGAAAUGCGUAGAUAUCGGAAGGAACAUCAGUGGCGAAGGCGACUUUCUGGACUCAAACUGACGCUGAGGUGCGAAAGCGUGGGGAGCGAACAGGAUUAGAUA
RNAcentral lists this ribosomal RNA (279 nucleotides) under uncultured bacterium. RNAcentral describes it as "partial 16S ribosomal RNA". It matches the Rfam family "Bacterial small subunit ribosomal RNA", at positions 506 to 784 of the family's 1533-position model. The record is from RNAcentral.